UGGGGAAUAUUGGGCAAUGGGCGCAAGCCUGACCCAGCGACGCCGCGUGAGGGAAGAAGGUCUUCGGAUCGUAAACCUCUGUCAGGAGGGAAGAAGUGCCAUAUUUCGAACAGAGGUAUGGUUUGACGGUACCUCCAGAGGAAGCACCGGCUAACUCCGUGCCAGCAGCCGCGGUAACACGGAGGGUGCAAGCGUUAUUCGGAAUUACUGGGCGUAAAGCGCGCGUAGGCGGUUUUUCAAGUCAGAUGUGAAAUCCCUCGGCUCAACCGAGGAAUUGCAUUUGAAACUGUUGAACUGGAGUUCGGGAGAGGGUGGCGGAAUUCCCGGUGUAGGAGUGAAAUCCGUAGAUAUCGGGAGGAACACCAGAGGCGAAGGCGGCCACCUGGACCGAAACUGACGCUGAGGUGCGAAAGCGUGGGGAGCAAACA
Molecule: ribosomal RNA, 428 nt
Filed under: uncultured bacterium
Lineage: Bacteria
Description: bacterial SSU rRNA
Rfam family: Bacterial small subunit ribosomal RNA
Source: RNAcentral